UGGACUAGGAAAUUGGACCAAUGGACUCAAA
RNAcentral lists this non-coding RNA (31 nucleotides) under Mus musculus (house mouse). Lineage: Eukaryota; Metazoa; Chordata; Mammalia; Rodentia; Muridae. The record is from RNAcentral.